RNAcentral lists this long non-coding RNA (1069 nucleotides) under Marmota monax (woodchuck). The record is from RNAcentral. Lineage: Eukaryota; Metazoa; Chordata; Mammalia; Rodentia; Sciuridae.
CUUCAAUAGGUGAAUAAACUUUCUUCUCAGCAUCACACGGAUCUUUCUCUAAAAUAGACCAUAUAUUAUGCCACAAAGCAACUCUUAGCAAAUACAAAAAAGCAGAGAUACUAGCUUGCAUCCUAUGUGACAAUAAUGGAAUGAAGUUAGAAAUCAAUGAUAAAAUUAAAAAAUAAAAGCUUCUCCAACACCUGAAACUAAAUGAUAUGCUAUUGAAUAAAUAAUGGGUUGCAAAAGACAUCAAGGAGGAGAUUAAAAAAUUAUUAGAGGUGAAUGAGCACACAGAUACAAUGUGUCAAAAACUCUGGGACAUUGUGAAGGAAAUUCUAAGAGGAAAGUUCAUUGAAUGAAAUUCAUUUCUUAAAAGAAGAAAAAGUUAACAAAUAAAUGACUCAACAUUACAUCUCAAAGCCCUACAAAAAGAAGAACAUAUCAACACCAAAAGUAGAAGAAGAGAGGAAAUAAUUAAAAUCAGAGAGAAAAUAAUUUAAACACAAUUAUAUAUUUGAUGAAAUAUCACAAAAGACUCUAAAGAAAUACCAAGAUAAUUAGGAAAUAUUUUGAAAAUUCAAUAAAAUAGAAAAAAAAUAGAAAAUCUUGAAGGCAUAAAAAAAAUUUCUAGAAACAUAUGAUUUGCCCAAAUUGAAUCAAAAUGAUAUAUACAAUUUAAGCAGAUCAAUUUCAAGUGAUAAAAUAGAAGACACAAUCAGAAGCUUACCAACCAACAAAGCCAGGACCAGAUGGAUACACAGCUGAGUUCUACAAGAUCUUUAAAGAAGGACUAACAUCAAUACUCUUCAAUUUAUUUAAGAAAAUAGAAAAAGAGGGAACACUUCCAAACUCAUUCUAUAAGGCCAAUAUCACCCUGAUUUCCAAAAUAGGAAAAGAUACAUGAAAGAAGGACAUCUUCAGAUGAAUAUCUCUAAUGAUCAUAGAUGCAAAAAUUCUCAAUAAAAUUCUCCAAAUCCAAUACAAAAACAUAUCAAAAACACAGUACACCAGGAACAAGUAAGUUUCAUUGUCAGAGUCCAGCUCGGCAGGGGGUCUCAGGAGAGAAUGGAUGGGGAGG